AGGAGGCAGGAGAGGAGGGGCAGGGUCCCUGGCUCUGCUUGCUAAUGCAAAGUGCUCACAGUAACAAGCCAGAGUAAGGAGAUGCCAUGGACACUACAGAAUCAGGGACUGCAGAGGGCUGUGGCCAAGGCCACCCGCAAGGGAGUCAAGGGCAAGAUGGGUGCAGUGUCUCUGUCUUUAGGCUGCAGUGGGCUGUCCAGAGUUCUGCUGGUGAGAAGGUACAGUUAGAAUGUCAAACGUAGGAGGAGUAAGAAGCCGAGGGUGUGGGAGCAGAGCAGCAGUUUGGGGUUCCCCAGAGAGUCCUUCCCUUCCCUUCUGUGAACACACGUGCAGCUGCUCUGGGACUUUUGGACUGCACUUCUCAGUUACGCAUUCUCUGCCACUUGUAUGCCACCAGCCUCUCCCUUUGGACUCUGGCUUUGCUUUCCAUGGUUCUAAAGACUUGGUGCCUGGCACCCUCAUUUCCUCUUGUCUCCAAGGACUGCAGCAGCAGGCCAGGCUUCCUGUCUUCCCUGCCGGGAUGGAUUUCUGAGGCCCUCCGUGUCCAGGAGGCUGGGUUUGCAUGGACAUUGAUUAUACAGGCCUUUUGAGAUAGAUCACAGUCAGUGCUUUAAAACUGCAUUCUUUUUAAAAAAA
Molecule: long non-coding RNA, 636 nt
Filed under: Rattus norvegicus (Norway rat)
Lineage: Eukaryota; Metazoa; Chordata; Mammalia; Rodentia; Muridae
Description: long non-coding RNA NONRATT008009
Source: RNAcentral